Aegilops tauschii subsp. strangulata is the source of this 832-nucleotide long non-coding RNA. RefSeq lists it as uncharacterized. Lineage: Eukaryota; Viridiplantae; Streptophyta; Magnoliopsida; Poales; Poaceae. The record is from RefSeq and is a predicted model, not a curated record.
GUUCCUUCAAGGUAUGUUAUUUUUUGUUGUUUAAAAUUUUGUGCUACCCGGGAGGAACUGAUGAGUUCAGAAUAUACUUAUCCAAAUAUUUCAGCUCGACGUCGACUUUGCUACAUUAUCUCGAUUUGUGUUGCAUGCCACUUUGAACUUCUACCUAGGCAAUGUGUGGCAAGCCGCGCUUUACAUUGGUUCAACCAGCCCUCUCAUCAAGUAUUAUGUUUGUGGGAUGAAUAAGACACUGGUCACUCCUGGACUAAGGAUGCACUUCUCCUGCCACUUAACAAAAAAUAAUCAGAAGAACCAUCUCAAUGAACCAGUCGAGGACAUGAUGGUUAGUCUCAGCGCUGGAGAUGUUACGAGACAGGUUUGGCGCAUAAGAGGAACACACACAAAAAGCAAUUUGUCAGACUUUGUCAAGGCGGGAGGGAUCAGAGAGUAUCAAAUGUGUUUCUUCGCCUUCAAAAUUGAAAGGGGGAAACCAUCGCUCACUCUCCAUAAUAAGCUUUAAAAAACUAAGGUAGGAAAUCACAAGUCUAUACAGAAAUCAUUUUAUGCCAUGUAUUUCCCGGACUAUUUGCAUCGGGUUCAUGUGAAGUACCGCAUAUGAGGUUGAUCGACAAGGCAAUUGAAUGGAGCUACUUUUCAGUAUGACUAAUAACUAUAGCUUCGUAGAUUUAACAUCUAUAUUGUCAUUGUGUCUGCCUUUUUCUUCUUUAUUAUGUUCCAACUCUUUGUAAUUGCUCUCAUGUUCACGCUCGUAGUACUGAGCUUAAUGUAAAGUGAUGAUCUUUUGUGGUCCCUUGAACUCAAUAAACUUGAUGUUGCCUUAUAA